Molecule: ribosomal RNA, 308 nt
Filed under: Chanodichthys sp. YL-2015
Lineage: Eukaryota; Metazoa; Chordata; Actinopteri; Cypriniformes; Xenocyprididae
Description: partial 16S ribosomal RNA
Rfam family: Bacterial large subunit ribosomal RNA
Source: RNAcentral
GGCUAAACGAGGGCUUAACUGUCUCCCCUUUCAAGUCAGUGAAAUUGAUCUAUCCGUGCAGAAGCGGGUAUAACCAUACAAGACGAGAAGACCCUUUGGAGCUUAAGGUACAAAAUUCAACCACGUUAAGCAACUUAAUAAAAAGCAAAAACUUAGUGGAAAAUGAAGUUUUACCUUCGGUUGGGGCGACCGCGGAGGAAAAACAAGCCUCCGAGUGGAAUGGGCUAAAUCCCUAAAACCAAGAGAAACAUCUCUAAGCCACAGAACAUCUGACCAAAAAUGAUCCGGCUAAUAAGGCCGAUCAACGA